UUCACAAUAUCCCUCUGGCAGUGAGGUUUUAAAGGAUAGAGGGGAGCGUAGAGGGGAGCGUGCAUUUGCAGUGGCUGGGCCACGACUCUGGAAUACCCUGCCUUUAGAGAUCAGACUGGCCCCUUCCUUGUCUAUUUUUAAAUCUUUGCUAAAAACUUUUUUAUUUUCCUUAGUGUACUGACUACUGUGUUAUGCUACAUUUUGAAAUGGGUGGUUUUAAAUUUUUUGUCUGGUCUAUUUUUAUGUAUGUGUAAUAUUCUUGCUCUUAUGUUAAAGCACUUUGGUCAGCCAGGAGGCUGUUGUAAAUGCGCUAUACAAAUAAAUUGAACUUGAACUUGAACUUGAACUUGAUAUGGCAGUUAAAGGGUUAAUCCGAAUCAUCUAGACUUUAAAAUCACAUUCACAGAACAAUAUAUAUAUAUAUAUAUAUAUAUAACUUUAGUAACACUUUACAAUAAGAUUUCAUUUAUAAACAUUAUGUUAACAUGAACAAUAUUUAUAUAGCAUUCAUUCAUGUCAGUUAAUAUUCCAAACUUAAACAUUAAAACAUUGUUUUAUUGUGAUUUUUUUCCAAGCACAUUUUACCAAUUCCAAACCAUAUCAAUCUUAAUAACUACCAUUAUUUUUUAUUUAAUCAUUUAUGAGUGCUAUACAAUAGUCCAGGAAAGCUGGAAGAGAAAAACAGGUCAAGAAGAACUGACAAAAAGAAUUACAAAAUAAUUAGGAAUUAAUGUGAAGAUUAAUUUUUAGUCAAUUCUGCAAGACAGACUUUCAGGAAAGGAGGUGGAAUAAAAAUGAGCUCCUAAAUCUUAAUCCCAGAUUCUGGAAGAUAUAUUCCUCAAACCAUCGGACAAGAGGAGGUGGUGCUGGUCCUUCACGAGUCACUCUAAUCUGUUCAUUAAGCCUAUAUAUAAAGUCUUAAUAUAUAGUAUUUCACAAUACUUCAUGGUAUUCUAAUUAAAUCAUUUUUUGGAAUCUUAAGUCUCUCAGAGCCUGACACCGAGUAAUUCUGGAGACUCCAGGAAAGUGGCAGUUCUGUAAAAUGUUGGCGCUGGAGACUAAAUGCACCCUGAUAGAUUCACACCUAAUUCACUUAACACACACACACACACAUUACCCACAGUGACAGUGGAACUGAGUGACAUCAGAUGUAUGAUAGUUUUUUAAUUUUCUAUCAUCCAUAUAGUGUUGUAUAGUCAUGAAACUAUGGUCAUGAGACCAGUCAUUCUGAGGAAAUAUGCCUCAGAAUGACUGGUCUUCUAUGUGUACAUUUUUUUGAAGUGUUUAGAAGCUGCACUUUAAAAAAAUAAAAAGACAUUUACUGGUU
This is a long non-coding RNA of Carassius gibelio (silver crucian carp), 1327 nucleotides long. RefSeq lists it as uncharacterized. The record is from RefSeq and is a predicted model, not a curated record. The transcript has 2 exons. NCBI's taxonomy places the organism in Eukaryota, Metazoa, Chordata, Actinopteri, Cypriniformes, Cyprinidae.